AACAGGCUAAUUUGCGCAAGAGUGUACAAAAUGAGUGCGCGGUUUGGCACCUCGAUGUCGGCUUAACUUAUCCUCCGGGAUGCAGGACCUCGGUAGGGUACGACUGUUCGUCGAUUAAAAAG
Molecule: non-coding RNA, 122 nt
Organism: Diplodia seriata
Lineage: Eukaryota; Fungi; Ascomycota; Dothideomycetes; Botryosphaeriales; Botryosphaeriaceae
Source: Rfam